GGAUGUGAGGGCGAUCUGGCUGUGACAUCUGUCACCCAAAAGAUGGCCAGGGUUGAUUCCGCUGAUCUGCCUGGCUAGGCAGGUGUCCCCUUCCUCCCUCACCACUCCAUGUGUGUCCUUCUGGGAAGCUGCAUGCUUGUUCUAAGAGGACAACCUUCCUCUAAAUAGAGACAGACCGGUCUUCUGCUGAGGGUAUAGAGUAUCUGAGCUCUCCUUCUAGAACCUCCAAACAAGCUCUCAAGGUCCAUUAUAAAAAAUACUUUCUCUUUUCCCUACUUAAAAAAAAAAAAAGUCUGCUGCUGGGCUGAAAAAUGGUUU
RNAcentral lists this small nuclear RNA (318 nucleotides) under Erinaceus europaeus (western European hedgehog). RNAcentral describes it as "7SK RNA (ENSEEUG00000021450.1)". It matches the Rfam family "7SK RNA". From Rfam's summary of the family: 7SK was discovered as an abundant small nuclear RNA in the mid-70s but a possible function has only recently been suggested. Two independent studies have found that 7SK RNA binds the CDK9/cyclin T complex (known as elongation factor P-TEFb). P-TEFb activates transcription by phosphorylating the C-terminal domain of RNA polymerase II. Lineage: Eukaryota; Metazoa; Chordata; Mammalia; Eulipotyphla; Erinaceidae. The record is from RNAcentral.